AUUGAACGCUGGCGGAAUGCUUUACACAUGCAAGUCGAACGGUAGAGGGGGCAACCCCUCGAGAGUGGCGAACGGGUGAGUAAUAUAUCGGAACGUGCCCAGUCGUGGGGGAUAACGUAGCGAAAGUUACGCGAAUACCGCAUACGAUCUAAGUAUGAAAGCGGGGGAGCGCAAGACCUCGCGCGAUUGGAGCGGCCGAUAUCAGAUUAGGUAGUUGGUGGGGUAAAGGCUCACCAAGCCAACGAUCUGUAGCUGGUCUGAGAGGACGACCAGCCACACUGGAACUGAGACACGGUCCAGACUCCUACGGGAGGCAGCAGUGGGGAAUUUUGGACAAUGGACGCAAGUCUGAUCCAGCCAUUCCGCGUGCAGGAUGAAGGCCCUCGGGUUGUAAACUGCUUUUGUACGGAACGAAAAGGUCUCUCUUAAUACGGGGGGCUCAUGACGGUACCGUAAGAAUAAGCACCGGCUAACUACGUGCCAGCAGCCGCAGUAA
This 496-nucleotide ribosomal RNA is filed under the name uncultured bacterium. Its description in RNAcentral is "partial 16S ribosomal RNA". It matches the Rfam family "Bacterial small subunit ribosomal RNA", at positions 30 to 523 of the family's 1533-position model. The record is from RNAcentral.